Molecule: ribosomal RNA, 301 nt
Filed under: uncultured bacterium
Lineage: Bacteria
Description: partial 16S ribosomal RNA
Rfam family: Bacterial small subunit ribosomal RNA
Source: RNAcentral
CAGCCGCCGCGGUAAUACAGAGGGUGCGAGCGUUAAUCGGAUUUACUGGGCGUAAAGCGUGCGUAGGCGGCUUCUUAAGUCGGAUGUGAAAUCCCUGAGCUUAACUUAGGAAUUGCAUUCGAUACUGUGAAGCUAGAGUAUGGGAGAGGAUGGUAGAAUUCCAGGUGUAGCGGUGAAAUGCGUAGAGAUCUGGAGGAAUACCGAUGGCGAAGGCAGCCAUCUGGCCUAAUACUGACGCUGAGGUACGAAAGCAUGGGGAGCAAACAGGAUUAGAUACCCGCGUAGUCCCUGUCUCUUAUAC